This 292-nucleotide ribosomal RNA is filed under the name uncultured bacterium. RNAcentral describes it as "partial 16S ribosomal RNA". The record is from RNAcentral.
GGACUACCGGGGUUUCUAAUCCUGUUUGAUCCCCACGCUUUCGCGCCUCAGCGUCAAUGUCGGUCCAGUGAGCCGCCUUCGCCACCGGUGUUCUUCCCAAUCUCUACGAAUUUCACCUCUACACUGGGAAUUCCACUCACCUCUACCGAAUUCAAGUAAUGCAGUCUUGAAUGCAAUUCCAGGGUUGAGCCCUGGGCUUUCACAUCCAACUUGCAGAACCGCCUACGCGCCCUUUACGCCCAGUAAUUCCGAACAACGCUAGCUCCCUUCGUAUUACCGCGGCUGCUGGCAC